UGUAGUCAUAUGCUUGUCUCAAAGAUUAAGCCAUGCAUGUCUAAGUUUAAGCAAUUAAACCGCGAAACUGCGAAUGGCUCAUUAAAUCAGUUAUAGUUUAUUUGAUAGUACCUUACUACAUGGAUAACCGUGGUAAUUCUAGAGCUAAUACAUGCUAAAAACCCCGACUUCGGAAGGGGUGUAUUUAUUAGAUUAAAAACCAAUGCCCUUCGGGGCUAACUGGUGAUUCAUAAUAACUUCUCGAAUCGCAUGGCCUUGCGCUGGCGGUGGUUCAUUCAAAUUUCUGCCCUAUCAACUUUCGACGGCUGGGUCUUGGCCAGCCAUGGUGACAACGGGUAACGGGGAAUG
RNAcentral lists this ribosomal RNA (348 nucleotides) under uncultured fungus. RNAcentral's name for it is "SSU rRNA". It matches the Rfam family "Eukaryotic small subunit ribosomal RNA", at positions 21 to 371 of the family's 1831-position model. The record is from RNAcentral. Lineage: Eukaryota; Fungi.